AGCUACAGCCACAUCACCCUGCAGUCCAAGACCGGUUACACACUGAAGCUAAACUGGGCUGAGCCUGCUCAGUAUCUGCAUGGGGGACCACAUGGGAAAACUAGGUUGCUGUUGGAA
Ribosomal RNA from Danio rerio (zebrafish), 117 nucleotides. Lineage: Eukaryota; Metazoa; Chordata; Actinopteri; Cypriniformes; Danionidae. The record is from Ensembl.